UGGUGUUUGGGUCGGGGUGGGCUAUCUCUGUAAAGAGCCAGAGACUGAAUAUCUGCAGCUUUUCAGGCCACACAGUCUCUAUCAAAACUACUGAACUCCUGCACGACCUCAUGAAAGCCACAUGUAAACCAACGAGCUAAGGAUAGCUUUUAUAUUUUUAAAUGGUUGCAAAAAAUUAAAGUAGAGGCCGGGCCUGGUGGCUCACGCUUGUAAUCCCAGCACUU
This 224-nucleotide long non-coding RNA is filed under the name Homo sapiens (human). RNAcentral's name for it is "HSALNT0270376". The record is from RNAcentral. Lineage: Eukaryota; Metazoa; Chordata; Mammalia; Primates; Hominidae.